RNAcentral lists this ribosomal RNA (343 nucleotides) under uncultured bacterium. Its description in RNAcentral is "bacterial SSU rRNA". It matches the Rfam family "Bacterial small subunit ribosomal RNA", at positions 32 to 368 of the family's 1533-position model. The record is from RNAcentral.
AAUCAACGCUGGCGGCGUGCCUCAGACAUGCAAGUCGAACGAUUAAAGCUCUCUUCGGAGAGUGCAUAAAGUGGCGCACGGGUGAGUAACACGUAAGUAAUCUACCUUCGAGUGGGGAAUAACGUCCGGAAACGGACGCUAAUACCGCAUAACGCAGCGGCAUCGCAAGAUGACAGUUGUUAAAGAUUUAUCGCUUGAAGAGGAGCUUGCGGCAGAUAGCUUGUUGGUAAGGUAACGGCUUACCAAGGCUACGAUCUGUAUCCGGUCUAAGAGGACGGUCGGACACACUGACACUGAAUAACGGGUCAGACUCCUACGGGAGGCAGCAGUCGGGAAUUUUGGG